This 459-nucleotide ribosomal RNA is filed under the name uncultured bacterium. RNAcentral's name for it is "partial 16S ribosomal RNA". It matches the Rfam family "Bacterial small subunit ribosomal RNA", at positions 338 to 795 of the family's 1533-position model. The record is from RNAcentral.
CCUACGGGUGGCUGCAGUGAGGAAUAUUGGUCCCUUGCCGAGCGGCUUCCCCCUCCAAUUCGCUUUAGUGAAGACGGCCCUACGGGUUGUCAACCUCUUUUGUCGGGGAGCAAAGCGAACCACGUGUGGUUCAUUGAGAGUAACCUAAGAAAAAGCAUCGGCUAACUCCGUGCCAGCAGACGCGGUAAUACGGAGGAUGCGAGCGUUAUCCGGUUUUAUUGGGUUUACAGGGUUUGCAGGAGGAGGUGCAAGUCAGCGGUAAAAUUGCGGGGCUAAACCCCGUACUGCCGUUGAAACUGCAUCCCUUGAGUGCGCGAGAAGUAUGCGGAAUGCGUGGUGUAGCGGUGAAAUGCAUAGAUAUCACGCAGAACUCCGAUGGCGAAGGCAGCAUACCGGCGCGAAACUGACGCUCAUGCACGAAAGCGUGGGUAUCGAACAGGAUUAGAUACCCCUGUAGUC